GGAUGUGAUCAUACUAGAACUAAAUCAUCGGAUCGCAUCAAAACUCUGAAGUUAAGCAUGUUUGAGCGAGAGUAGUACUAGGAUGGGUGACCUCCUGGGAAGUCCUCUUGUUGCAUUCC
RNAcentral lists this ribosomal RNA (119 nucleotides) under Hordeum vulgare subsp. vulgare (domesticated barley). The record is from RNAcentral. Lineage: Eukaryota; Viridiplantae; Streptophyta; Magnoliopsida; Poales; Poaceae.